RNAcentral lists this ribosomal RNA (251 nucleotides) under uncultured bacterium. RNAcentral describes it as "partial 16S ribosomal RNA". It matches the Rfam family "Bacterial small subunit ribosomal RNA", at positions 524 to 776 of the family's 1533-position model. The record is from RNAcentral.
UACGUAGGGUGCGAGCGUUAAUCGGAAUUACUGGGCGUAAAGCGUGCGCAGGCGGUUUUGUAAGACAGGCGUGAAAUCCCCGGGCUCAACCUGGGAAUGGCGCUUGUGACUGCAAAGCUAGAGUGCGGCAGAGGGGAUGGAAUUCCGCGUGUAGCAGUGAAAUGCGUAGAUAUGCGGAGGAACACCGAUGGCGAAGGCAAUCCCCUGGGCCUGCACUGACGCUCAUGCACGAAAGCGUGGGAGCAAACAGG